CAGCCCGGGGACAGAGAGUGGUCGCAGAUUAGAUCCUGGAUGGCCGUGUCCUGGAUCUCCGUGGAGUCGAAGUGGACGCUGCGAUAGGGGCUACGCAGAGUCCGGUGACCUCCGGGGUAACACUCUGGAGCUGGAAGUUCCAGAUCUGUGAAUUUAAUCAUGAGGAAAUGAAAAACUGCAGUAUCUCAGGCCCUGAUUCCCCCCGGAGUCGUGUCUUUAUCUUUGACUGAGUCCUAGUGUGAGGUCUGACAACAGACGGGAUGAAGAUAGACAAAACAAAAGCCACACAAGCCUGCGAGGGAAAUAUGGAGGAGUUAACUUUCUCCCCCUCAAUUACACUUGAAUGUGGACGUUUGUUCUUUGGGGGUAAACAGUUACAUCCAAGGUCGAUGUACUAUAAUAUCAUUUCAAGAAUGUCCUUUUAGAAAGAAAUCAACCAUUUAAAAAUUAAAUUGAGCACAUUUAUCCAAUCUACAUCCUGCAGAAUUAUGUUUAAACACCUGUAAUUUGUUGCUGAGGAGCUUCACUACCAAAGGCAGCAGAGAAUGGGUGGCAGAGUCAUGUGUUUGACUUUCUCUUUAAACUGUCAGCUGGCAUUGAGCAGAUGAGCAGGAAGCAUCACAGUUAUCUAAAUCACGUAGAACAACAGACAUUCCUGCUCGCCUCUCGCCUCUCUAACCUCACUCCGGGAGGCGACGAUCAAGCCGACAGCGCAUGACCGCCCUCCGAACACCUCCUGCAGCUGCAGCGCGAGGCUGCUGGGGGAAUGAUCUGAGAGGAACCUGCAGGUCCGUGUAACCAAACAGAACAUGCCGUUUUCCACUCAAGCAAACUCUGUAAGCUGCACAUCUGUCAAGAGAAAUGGCUCAAAGUCGGGGGCUUUUCCUAACAAAGGCUGUUCCCUUUCCCCUGUUUGACUUUGUGGCGGCUGAGCAAAGUCAGGGAACACAAACACACCAGGUAUUUAGGAUGUUUUGACACUGACAAAGCUAUGAAUGGACAGGGCGAAGUUACAAAGCCUAAACAAAGUCUUACAGGCGGGGUUUGGUGUUGACAGCCCCUGGUGUUUACCUCGUCUGCAUGUUCCCCGUCUGCAAGACAAGACUCGGGGUCACAGGUUGUGCAAACACCCAGGACACUCCCUGAGACUUCUGCCGCUGAGUAAACUGUUCCAAUUGGUGGCUUAAUGAGUUUACAGAGCUGGGGAGAGGUGUGGGGGGGUGUGAGCUAAUGAAGCGGCCCCCGGGGGAGGGGGUCCCGCUGUGAGGGGGGCCCUCAGCAGCCCAGAUGUGCAGGGACUCUGCAGGGAGCUCUGCCGUUUCUCAGGAAAGGAGAUUAACUCGGGAGAGCGCGGUGUUAACACAACUGAGGCUUUUCUUAGAGGACUGUCACUCACCAGGAAACAGAAACUACAGUCAGGACAGGGUCAAAGGUCAGGGGGAGCUGCAGUGCGAUAUAAGACACAUUAUCACCCAUUAUAAUGCUGUGUUAUGGUGGGAAACUAAACAUAUUAUCAAAUUAUCUCAAGUUCAGAAUAAAAAAUGUAUCAAUUUCAAAUCAAUUUGCUUUGAGAGGACAUAAAGACUUUAAAAGUGCUAUGUAAAAUCAAUAAAUGUUUCAACUAUAGUCUGAAACACUUGGCAUUUUACUCAACUUUAGGAUCUUCAAGUCUACAGGACUUAAAAAGGUUUGUUUGCAACCCUUUGUAUUGAUGAGCCGCUGAAGGCAUUUUCAGACGUGCUUAAGUUUAAAAAGAUCUCUUUCAGCAGGUUGAACCAACACUGUUUGAUUGUUGAAGUCAACUGGACAUCAUGUGUGUCCUGGAGUUCCAGGCGCUGCGGAAGACUUUGUUUUGGCUCAGAAAUGCCUGGUAUUCCUGUCACAAAGCUCCGCGAGGAACACACACGCUUGGUUUUACAACAGCCCCUCUUAAAGUUUACGACGUGGGCUUUGAUGUUUCGCCCCGCAGACGGAUAUGAGCAGAGACAGUAGCUUUAGGCACAUAACAACAGCUCUAACUGUCAUGUCAGAGAGAGAAGGACUCUGAAAAGAUGCCUUAACUGAAAUAUAUUGAGAAACAAGUGUCAUAUUGUGUUGUCUAAUCUUGUUUCAAUUACAUGUUUACGAGCACUUCUCUGGGAUUGUGUUUACGAGUCUGCUUAUCCCCCUGUUUGUUGUAUAGUCCUGAUUUUAAUGAAGUCUACUGCAGUAAAUAAUGUUUCAAACAUUUAGGACUACAUGUUCUCUAAGAGACUUUUUUGUGGAAGUGAUAAUUAGCAGGACCAAAGCAGGCAAACAUUCAGGGCUCCAAGAAAAAUAUUGUAAAAGGGAUCCUUGUAUUGUUAAACCUCCUGUAAAAAGUUAAUAUAAUGUUGCUCGUCUAGACGCAGCUGUUCUGCCUAAAACGUCUUGUAAAUCUUCCUGUUUUGUGUUUUCUCUCCAAUAUGUGAUUUGUUUUAGCAGAAAUUAACAAUAUACAGACAAAAAGUGAUCUUGAAGGUUUAAAUACAUAUUGGUAAGCAAUAAAUCUGCCAUUGUCAGUCGUAUGUGUAUGUGCAAACUGUGUAUAAGUACAUAAGUCGUGUUAAUACUUUGAUGUCAUUCUAUCGUGAUAUGUAGUUUGUACGAUUCCAGAACAAAUGUCCAUUCAGACACAUUAAAGUAUGUCUUAUCGAG
This is a long non-coding RNA of Gymnodraco acuticeps, 2676 nucleotides long. RefSeq lists it as uncharacterized. The record is from RefSeq and is a predicted model, not a curated record. The transcript has 3 exons. NCBI's taxonomy places the organism in Eukaryota, Metazoa, Chordata, Actinopteri, Perciformes, Bathydraconidae.